UUUUUUUUUUUUUUUUUCUGUCAGAACCACAGCUCCCUGCACAGCUUCCUCUACAGCUUUUGCAGUUUUAUUCCUGCCUCCAGGAAAACGAACUCUGCUCUCUGCUCCAUGGUGGGUGUGGUUCAAGGACUGGAGUCUGCUCCCAACACAGGACUCAUACAGGAGUAGUCUUGUGUGUUGCUGCUGAGCAGCAGGUCCACAGACUCUUGAUUGUUGAGCAGCACUCACUGCUGGUUAGCACACACAAAUCACAUUCAACCAGUCCUUCUUUGCUGUUUGUCCAGGUUCCUUCUGACCAUUCAGUAGAUGAGUUUGUACUUCACAUUGCUGAGUUUGGGUCUACUUGGUUGCAGCUCCUGAAGAGACUGUGGUCUAAGUGCAUGGGCUGCACCAUGGCACAUGCAUUCUCAACCUCUUCCCCUUCCAUUCAAGAUCUCAAAACAUAUCUAUGGCAACUGCAGCUCUUGCUUGCAAGAAAACAGAGACAUUAAGAAAUGCCUGUCUCUCCUUCCAGAGUUUGGCAUCAAAACAUAGGAUGCAAAUUCAAUGUCUCUCAGUUUCCUGGGAACCAUGGCCAUCUCCUUGGUCUCCAUGGUCUUCUACAGGGCCUCUUGGCCACUAGAGCACUAUAGUUACCCUAAAUACACAGCAGCAAUUAAGCACAAUACUUGGCUUGAAGAAAUCCAUUUCAUGCUUAAAGAAUUCUACAGUGGGACAGUAGGAGGAAGACAGUGUAGGAAAAGAAUUAACUCAUUAUAAAGGAGCAAAAUAUGAAAUAGCAAGCAGCUUGCAUUUCAUAUGGGCAGAAAGGUGACUUCUAUGAGAAAAAAACUGGUGUGUUGGAACAGACUGUUCCAGCAAAGCACACAGCUAAAUGUGGCACACAGACAUGAGACAUGUUAUUCACCCACAAGCUCCAAACCUACAGAGGAAGCAGACGCCUGUCAACAUUUUGAUUUAUAAUAGAAUUAGCAUCACAUGACAGCAAAACCAAAAGAAGGCUUAAAAAGAUGACCCUAAAAUGGAAGAGAAAAAUGCAGGUAUUGAAAGGGCUCGUUAUACUCUGCUGAUCAUGGCUGGCAAAUACCAAGAACAAAGAGGUGAGAGGGGCUGUAUUUGUAAGAGAGUCUGCCACUCCCCAGUAUUUGUGUACAGCUACAAACCACACCAAUCCUUUGGGGAACAACAGAGUGGCAUUAGAAUGAUGUACACCUGGCAAGAGAGACUGCUCUAUGCUGUUUGACUAGUCAUCAAAAUAUCCACUGUGCCUUUUUCUUUCUUUUUGCUAUGAUUUAUUUUUUUAACUGUUGCUCAGACAAUCAAUGAUUCAUUUGUAAAUGAAAACCAUUUUUCCUUCUUCCCAGGGAUACUACAUAUAAACAAAGAAAAGGGUGUUUCAAGACAUCCUACUGUAAUAUGUGUCUUGUUCUGUAAGGUUGCAGUGAUUCUAUCCAAGGCUGAGGUUUUAGAGAAGUUAUGUUUCUUAUUAAACCAGCUGAUAAUAUGGAGAAGAAACAAAGUUUUCUCAGUCUUCUUGUGUAUUCUGUUUUCUUUUUCGCAAGACUAUGCCAUUUUGUCUUUACUUUUCAUUACAUCUCUCUACAAAGCUAGGUAGUUCAUGCUAGUUAUAGCAUGUUAUACAGUAGUCAUGCUGCUAAAUCACAGAAAAUUCUUUGUGAAAAGAUACCACAGGCAUUAAAGUUAAAAAGAACUUUUCUGAAAAUAUUUAAUCUUUUUGUGCAGGUUUUAGACCAUGCCAUAAGAGCUCAGCAUAGAUGCUGUAAACUCAGCCGAGAAAAAGGAGUCAAGAAAAAUGUAAUCCUCAGGUGCCUGCAUUCAGGUAGGAGACAGAAAAAGUACCAACAACAUCCCACACAGAUACAAAAUGGUGUCUUUUUUUUUUCUUCUCACAAAAUUGGAAUGUUUAGCUUUAGUAUCUAACGGAUUAAAUC
Taeniopygia guttata (zebra finch) is the source of this 1952-nucleotide long non-coding RNA. NCBI's taxonomy places the organism in Eukaryota, Metazoa, Chordata, Aves, Passeriformes, Estrildidae. The record is from Ensembl.